Long non-coding RNA from Trachemys scripta elegans, 300 nucleotides. RefSeq lists it as uncharacterized. The transcript has 3 exons. NCBI's taxonomy places the organism in Eukaryota, Metazoa, Chordata, Testudines, Emydidae. The record is from RefSeq and is a predicted model, not a curated record.
UGUGGGUAUGCUCCAAUAGGUUCUCUGUUGCUGGAGUCAGACCCCAUGAGGGCAAGCAGGCAGGACGGCUGCUUUGCAGAAGGCCAUGUGCCCUGUGCGAGUUGAGAGAAGCUGAGCCCAGGAACAGAAACCAGGCUGUUAUCCCUAACUCUGAAGCAUUUUGCAGCAGCUACCUUCUCAAGGUGAUUAUGGAAGGUGAGGGUCCAGUCAAGUUUCACACCGAGGCCACCUGGUGAAUUUCCUCGUGGGAUGUGAAGAUGACUGAGACAAUGGGAGGGAAGAUGGAGGAAUGGGUCUAAG